Molecule: ribosomal RNA, 253 nt
Filed under: uncultured bacterium
Lineage: Bacteria
Description: partial 16S ribosomal RNA
Rfam family: Bacterial small subunit ribosomal RNA
Source: RNAcentral
UACGUAGGGGGCAAGCGUUGUCCGGAAUCAUUGGGCGUAAAGAGCGCGUAGGCGGUCCGGUAAGUCCGCUGUGAAAGUCAAGGGCUCAACCCUUGAAUGCCGGUGGAUACUGUCGGGCUAGAGUCCGGAAGAGGCGAGUGGAAUUCCUGGUGUAGCGGUGAAAUGCGCAGAUAUCAGGAGGAACACCAAUGGCGAAGGCAGCUCGCUGGGACGGUACUGACGCUGAGACGCGAAAGCGUGGGGAGCAAACAGG